AAAUCAUGCAGAAGUUGCUUGGAAGAAGUUAUCACGUAUAUAUUUCGAUGAGGGGCAAACUUUUAAUCAAUUAAGUCGAUUUGCACAAGCACUUAGCUUAGCACUGAGCAGAUCUUAUGUGAUUCUCCCUAGUUUUCUUGCCUUAGCGUAUGGAAGAAAUAUAGCACUGGCACAAGCAUCACCAGACUUGGAGUAUGGCCUCCCAAUGACUAGCUUCUACAGGCAUGCUGAAAAUGGACAUUUUUUGGUGACCUCAGUGCUGCAUUUCAUAUUUGAAGGUUUUGUUCUGCUGUUGAGAGCCUUUUAUUUGGGGAUACUCUUUUCUCCUAGCAUUGUAAUGGCCCCAUUUGCUGAUGCAUUUGGGCCUUCUUUCAGGAAACUGUGGCUUCAGGUAGUCCGUAGCACACUCGAAAGAGCAGGUCCUGCAUUUAUCAA
Molecule: unclassified non-coding RNA, 435 nt
Filed under: Hevea brasiliensis (rubber tree)
Lineage: Eukaryota; Viridiplantae; Streptophyta; Magnoliopsida; Malpighiales; Euphorbiaceae
Source: RNAcentral